This 932-nucleotide ribosomal RNA is filed under the name Pediococcus acidilactici. RNAcentral describes it as "bacterial SSU rRNA". It matches the Rfam family "Bacterial small subunit ribosomal RNA", at positions 508 to 1440 of the family's 1533-position model. Lineage: Bacteria; Bacillati; Bacillota; Bacilli; Lactobacillales; Lactobacillaceae. The record is from RNAcentral.
CCAGCAGCCGCGGUAAUACGUAGGUGGCAAGCGUUAUCCGGAUUUAUUGGGCGUAAAGCGAGCGCAGGCGGUCUUUUAAGUCUAAUGUGAAAGCCUUCGGCUCAACCGAAGAAGUGCAUUGGAAACUGGGAGACUUGAGUGCAGAAGAGGACAGUGGAACUCCAUGUGUAGCGGUGAAAUGCGUAGAUAUAUGGAAGAACACCAGUGGCGAAGGCGGCUGUCUGGUCUGUAACUGACGCUGAGGCUCGAAAGCAUGGGUAGCGAACAGGAUUAGAUACCCUGGUAGUCCAUGCCGUAAACGAUGAUUACUAAGUGUUGGAGGGUUUCCGCCCUUCAGUGCUGCAGCUAACGCAUUAAGUAAUCCGCCUGGGGAGUACGACCGCAAGGUUGAAACUCAAAAGAAUUGACGGGGGCCCGCACAAGCGGUGGAGCAUGUGGUUUAAUUCGAAGCUACGCGAAGAACCUUACCAGGUCUUGACAUCUUCUGCCAACCUAAGAGAUUAGGCGUUCCCUUCGGGGACAGAAUGACAGGUGGUGCAUGGUUGUCGUCAGCUCGUGUCGUGAGAUGUUGGGUUAAGUCCCGCAACGAGCGCAACCCUUAUUACUAGUUGCCAGCAUUCAGUUGGGCACUCUAGUGAGACUGCCGGUGACAAACCGGAGGAAGGUGGGGACGACGUCAAAUCAUCAUGCCCCUUAUGACCUGGGCUACACACGUGCUACAAUGGAUGGUACAACGAGUCGCGAAACCGCGAGGUUUAGCUAAUCUCUUAAAACCAUUCUCAGUUCGGACUGUAGGCUGCAACUCGCCUACACGAAGUCGGAAUCGCUAGUAAUCGCGGAUCAGCAUGCCGCGGUGAAUACGUUCCCGGGCCUUGUACACACCGCCCGUCACACCAUGAGAGUUUGUAACACCCAAAGCCGGUGGGGUAACC